UACGAAGGGGGCUAGCGUUGUUCGGAAUUACUGGGCGUAAAGCGCGCGCAGGCGGUUCUUCAAGUCAGAGGUGAAAGCCCAGAGCUCAACUCUGGAAUGGCCUUUGAGACUAGAGAACUAGGGUACGGGAGAGGUGAGUGGAAUUCCGAGUGUAGAGGUGAUAUUCGUAGAUAUUCGGAAGAACACCAGUGGCGAAGGCGACUCUUUGGCCUGUAACUGACGCUGAGGCGCGAAAGCGUGGGGAGCAAACAGG
Molecule: ribosomal RNA, 253 nt
Filed under: uncultured bacterium
Lineage: Bacteria
Description: partial 16S ribosomal RNA
Rfam family: Bacterial small subunit ribosomal RNA
Source: RNAcentral